RNAcentral lists this ribosomal RNA (253 nucleotides) under uncultured bacterium. RNAcentral describes it as "partial 16S ribosomal RNA". It matches the Rfam family "Bacterial small subunit ribosomal RNA", at positions 524 to 776 of the family's 1533-position model. The record is from RNAcentral.
UACGGAGGGUGCGAGCGUUGUCCGGAAUCACUGGGCGUAAAGGGCGCGUAGGCGGCGCGGUAAGCACGCGGUGAAAGCCCGGGGCUCAACCCCGGGUCGGCCGUGCGGACUGCCGCGCUGGAGCACUGUAGAGGCGGGCGGAAUUCCGGGUGUAGCGGUGGAAUGCGUAGAGAUCCGGAAGAACACCGGUGGCGAAGGCGGCCCGCUGGGCAGUGGCUGACGCCGAGGCGCGACAGCGUGGGGAGCAAGCAGG